Molecule: ribosomal RNA, 492 nt
Filed under: Myrothecium sp. E31
Lineage: Eukaryota; Fungi; Ascomycota; Sordariomycetes; Hypocreales; Stachybotryaceae
Description: eukaryotic LSU rRNA
Rfam family: Eukaryotic large subunit ribosomal RNA
Source: RNAcentral
GCCCGAGUUGUAAUUUGCAGAGGAAGCUUCUGGCGACGCGCCGCCUAAGUCCCCUGGAAUGGGGCGCCACAGCGGGUGAGAGCCCCGUGUGACGGCUGCUGAACCAGUGUGAAGCUCCUUCGACGAGUCGAGUAGUUUGGGAAUGCUGCUCAAAAUGGGAGGUAAAUUCCUUCUAAAGCUAAAUACCGGCCAGAGACCGAUAGCGCACAAGUAGAGUGAUCGAAAGAUGAAAAGCACUUUGAAAAGAGGGUUAAACAGCACGUGAAAUUGUUGAAAGGGAAGCGCUUAUGACCAGACUUGCGCUGGGCUGAUCAUCCGGUGUUCUCACCGGUGCACUCUGCCCAGCGCAGGCCAGCAUCGGUUUCGGCGGGGGGAUAAAGGCGCUGGGAACGUAGCUCCCCCGGGAGUGUUAUAGCCCAGCGUGCAAUGCCCCCGCCGGGACCGAGGACAGCGCCCUGCGAGGAUGCUGGCGUAAUGGUCAUCAGCGACCCG